This 429-nucleotide ribosomal RNA is filed under the name uncultured bacterium. RNAcentral's name for it is "bacterial SSU rRNA". It matches the Rfam family "Bacterial small subunit ribosomal RNA", at positions 355 to 775 of the family's 1533-position model. The record is from RNAcentral.
UGAGGAAUAUUGCGCAAUGGGGGCAACCCUGACGCAGCAACGCCGCGUGAGUGAGGAAGGUUUUCGGACCGUAAAGCUCUGUCGAGUGGGAAGAAAUGUAUCGUGGCUAAUAUCCAUGAUACUUGACGGUACCGCUAAAGGAAGCACCGGCUAACUCCGUGCCAGCAGCCGCGGUAAUACGGGGGGUGCGAGCGUUGUUCGGAAUUAUUGGGCGUAAAGAGCGUGUAGGCGGCUGAAUAAGUCAGAUGUGAAAUCCCUGGGCUUAACCCAGGAAGUGCAUUUGAAACUAUUCAGCUUGAGUAGGGGAGAGGAAAGUGGAAUUCCUGGUGUAGAGGUGAAAUUCGUAGAUAUCAGGAGGAACACCGGUGGCGAAGGCGACUUUCUGGCCCUAUACUGACGCUGAGACGCGAGAGCGUGGGUAGCAAACAG